GCCUAACACAUGCAAGUCGAACGAGACCUUCGGGUCUAGUGGCGCACGGGUGCGUAACGCGUGGGAAUCUGCCCUUGGGUUCGGAAUAACAGUGAGAAAUUACUGCUAAUACCGGAUGAUGUCGCAAGACCAAAGAUUUAUCGCCCAGGGAUGAGCCCGCGUAGGAUUAGCUAGUUGGUGAGGUAAAGGCUCACCAAGGCGACGAUCCUUAGCUGGUCUGAGAGGAUGAUCAGCCACACUGGGACUGAGACACGGCCCAGACUCCUACGGGAGGCAGCAGUGGGGAAUAUUGGACAAUGGGCGAAAGCCUGAUCCAGCAAUGCCGCGUGAGUGAUGAGGGCCUUAGGGUUGUAAAGCUCUUUUACCCGGGAUGAUAAUGACAGUACCGGGAGAAUAAGCCCCGGCUAACUCCG
Molecule: ribosomal RNA, 413 nt
Filed under: Sphingomonas asaccharolytica
Lineage: Bacteria; Pseudomonadati; Pseudomonadota; Alphaproteobacteria; Sphingomonadales; Sphingomonadaceae
Description: bacterial SSU rRNA
Rfam family: Bacterial small subunit ribosomal RNA
Source: RNAcentral